RNAcentral lists this long non-coding RNA (1018 nucleotides) under Apteryx owenii (little spotted kiwi). Its description in RNAcentral is "lncRNA (ENSAOWG00000018152.1)". Lineage: Eukaryota; Metazoa; Chordata; Aves; Apterygiformes; Apterygidae. The record is from RNAcentral.
UAGACGCAUGCAAUCUCAAUUUCCAACUUUGGAGAAUGGAUUAAAAUGCCCUCGUAUUUUAAUAGCCUGGCAUCGGUUAUCCCUUUUUCAGCUUUUUGUUGUAGUACUCCUCGUAUAUUAUGAGGGGUAUAUACUUUUAAUUCUCCUCCAAAGGUUAUCUUUUUAGCCUCUUCUACUAAUAAGGCUGUAGCUACAAUGGCUUGUAGGCAAGUGGGCCAUCCCCGACUGACGGGGUCUAACAAUUUUGAAAAAUACCCUAUAGGUUUCUUUUUCCCUGCCCAUUCCUGUGUUACGACUCCAAAGGCUGUCCCUUCCUGUGUAUUGAUAAACAUGUAGAAUGGUCUCUUAAUAUCUGGUAAACUCAAAACAGGUGCAUUCACCAAGUCGGCCUUCAAAUCUUCGAGGCUCUGAUCAUCGGUUUGAGUCCAUUUUAUUAGCCCAUCUGCUAUUAGUUUUUGAUAUAAAAAUUUUACUUUAUUGCUAUAAUUUUCAAUCCAUUGUCUGCAAUACCCUAAUAACCCCAGCAAUUGUCGGACCUGUCUUUUGCUCUUCGGGGGUCUUACUGACAGUAUACCAUUUAGCCUCAGGUGACAGCUGACUAAAUAUGGUAUAGGGGUUAGCUACAAUUGGGAACCUGGUAAUUGUUCUUUUGUUUAUUUCUCUUAAAUCUUGUACCAAUCUAUAAGUACCAUCUGACUUCUUUACGGGUAGUAUGGGGGUAUUAUGGGGAGACAUACAAGGCUCCAGCAACUUUUGAUUUAUUAGCCUCUGGAUUACUGGUCGGAGUCCUUGCCUCCCUUCCUGUGACAUUGGAUAUUGCUUGACUCUAACAGGGAUUUCUGGAUUCCGUAUAUUCACUUCAAAGGGAGCAAUAUCUAGUUUCCCUACUGAUUCUGGGGUAUACCAAACUUCAGGAUUGAUUUUGGCCUCAUCUUCAAUAGUAAGGGUGCAUAAUUUUAUAACUAAUUCUUGAUUCUUCACUUCUAAAUUGACUCCUAAUUCCACCAUAUCUCGGCCC